CUGCAGCCAUGGCGCCAAGUACUUAACAUCUAUUGCUGAUCCGUUUUUUCUGGUAUGAAAACUCUACUCUGUUCUGUAUAUAUUUUAUUUGCCUUGUUUUGUCUCUCUAAGGUAUAGAUGAAGACUUUGGAAAAUUAAAUGAAAUUACUUAAUUUAACUAAAAAAGUCUGUCCUGUUUAAUUAUACAAUAUAACUUGUUGUUUGUUUGUUUGUUGCACCCAUUGAUGGAAAAAAGACAGAAAAAUGGAAAUUGAACAUUUGAUCAGUCACAAGCAUCCACUGAUGUUCAAGGAAGAGCAGAAAGAAAAACAUGGUGGGCUGGCUUUUUGCUCAGGGUGUGCAGAGAACCUGUGAUUGGCCCUAGCUACUGCUGCACCAAAUACCCGGAAUGCGACUUCCUUGUCCAUAAAUCUGUUGGAAUUAAUGCACUUCCUUCAUUUUCUAGAAUAUCUCUAUUUAUUGCAGCAGUUGUAGCUAUCUUUAAUUAAUUUGGUGGAGUUUCUAUGCAAUGUCUUUUAGGUUCUCUAGGAAGUAUUCUCUAGAAUAUUCCUUCUCUUUUUAAAAAGCCUUUGAGCUUAUCAUUGUAAAUAGAAGCUAAGUGAAUCAGAAUACAAAGAGCUCUGCUGAAGCAACUCAUAUUUCCAGCACCUCAUAUUCGUUCGAUCAUAUCUGGGCGUUGAAAUCAAUUCUAGAAGAUGUCAUCAGGAGCCAAAGAAGGUCCAUCACUUUCCUACUCUAUUCUCCCAAUCUUUGGAGGUGGAAAUUAUGAUUUCUGGAAGGUGAAGAUGAGACUGUUGUCACAANNNNNNNNNNUAAUUUCUGGAAGGUGAAGAUGAGAACUAUACUGUUGUCAGAAGGUCUUUGGAGCUUCGUUGAAAGAGGGCUUCAAGAACCAGAGGAUCUAAGUCAGCUUCCAGCAGCAGAAAUAGAGAAGUUCGAAGCAGAAGUCAUGAAAGAUGCCAAGGCUCUCUCCAAGAUUCAGAACGGAGUCACUUCAGAC
Molecule: long non-coding RNA, 1000 nt
Filed under: Prunus dulcis (almond)
Lineage: Eukaryota; Viridiplantae; Streptophyta; Magnoliopsida; Rosales; Rosaceae
Description: sRNA ncRNA
Source: RNAcentral